RNAcentral lists this long non-coding RNA (644 nucleotides) under Lynx canadensis (Canada lynx). RNAcentral's name for it is "lncRNA (ENSLCNG00005013829.1)". Lineage: Eukaryota; Metazoa; Chordata; Mammalia; Carnivora; Felidae. The record is from RNAcentral.
CUUUGGCUGGUUGUGCGCCUGUGCGAAAAAAGGCCUCGAUCCCUGGUUUGAGGACGCGUUUAGGAAAGUCUAGGGCGCCACCGCCCAGGGUCUGGGGUGCGCCAAGUGGGGAAGGUGUGGGGCUCCUCUUUGCGCCUACGGGCGAUGCCUGCGAGCGAUCGUCCCCGCCUCCUCGGGCCUCGGCGUUGACGGAAAUAGAAUGGGCGGCCCUGUGGGGCGUCCGCCGGGACCGCCGCAAGAGCCCUCAAGACCUUCCCAGCUGGACACCUGAGAUAUCGUCAGCAGUACCAGAUGCCUCAUCACCACCAACUCCAGCAGUCAGCUGCCCUCAGAGAUGGAAGAGAGGGCACGAGCAAGUGAGGUUCUGGUCCCCGCAGCACUCAAGAAUGGAACCAUGGGAACUAGCAUGCAGUGAGGAUGCUGGUGGCUACCUUCUGGCUCCCAGCUCUACGAUGGGUAACGUCAUUGUGCCAUUUUAUGUACGAAGAUGAAGGACCCUGACAACAAAACCUAAAACAAACCCUCACACUAGAGCAACAAAGAGGAAAGCUCUCGUUCUCCAGCAGUCGUGGGCGUGUACUGAGACUGCCCUUCCUUUUGUUUUCACGUGUGGCAGAAACUCAGGUUGGUCCCCAGGAGACAGG